GUCGUCUUCGUCUCUUUCAGAUUCGACAUAGACCUUGCAUUUUAUAUUCUCAUCUCAACGUAAGAAAGAAGACUUGGCCGUCAUGGAUCGUCAUCUGGUAAUUUGCUUGGUCGUCAUUGGACUCAUUUCUCAUCAAGUCUCCGCCCAAAUGGGAAACGGGAGCGGCCCUUGUACUUCUGCACCCUGUCUGAACGGUGGGAUGUGUGAUAGUCUUGGAGAUCAAUUUUGGUGUUCUUGUCAGGACGGAUUUCAUGGCACAUAUUGCGAAUUAAAUGGUAACGGGAGCGGCCCUUGUAGUUCUGUAUCCUGUCUGAACGGCGGGAGGUGUUACAGCUAUGGAGACUCAAGUUGGUAUUGUUCUUGUGAAGAUGGAUAUUAUGGCGAUUAUUGCGAAUUAAAUGCAAUCUGGAGCGACCCUUGUCUUUCUGCAGUCUGUCAGAACGGUGGGGAGUGUGUUAGCGAUGGAGCCUCAUUUAGGUGUUACUGUCAACACGGAUACGUUGGAACGCGUUGUGAAUAUUAUGCUUGGAGGUCGUACUAACAACUUACCUAAAUUAUUUGCCUAUUAUGGAUUAUGAACGAUAACACAACUGUAGCCUAGAAGUACCAUGAGCAUUGAAAAAUGAGGAGAAAGACCAUGAAUAAGGGAUCUUCUACCGUGACAUGAGAAACAUUUGCAGAAAAUUCAAUUUAAUCGAUUCAAUUUAUUUGACAUCAUGUAAAGGAAAAAUCAAGUACUAACCAAUUUAGAGUACAUUAUGAGACAGGACCACUAAAAAGCAGCGUGUGCUGGUAAAUGAAGCCGUUAUCAAGUUAAACACAAUAUUAGAUACAUUUGAAUUAACAAGAACACUCCACUCUGAAACAUGAGGAAAAUAAUUAUCUACUGCAUAUUUAUUUUCCAUUAUAUUAAGAUCGUGAAAUGGUAUAUAAAAAGUUAUUAUAAUGGAUUUGUCUUGCAUAUAACACAAUUGCACGAUAGGCAGAAAGGCCCAAGUAUUAAAAUUCAAAACGCCUUCCAAGAGAAAAAGAGAGAAGAAAAAGAAGAGGAGACAUUUGAGCACUAAUUUCAUCAACAUAAAAUAUCUUAAAAAUGAUUCGUAUGAAAGAUAUUUUUAUCAUACCAGUCACGGUAUUUAACGCAAACCAUCCAUAAUGAGCAUUACAAUUACUGUGUGUAUUUCAGAAAAAGCUUAGUUUACUUUGAUAUUGAAUAAGACACUAUCUGAAAUUCGAACUCCUAAAAACAUAAAUUGAAUUUGAAUUUGAAUUAUUUAUCUGUCGGAGGUUUCUGUAAUGUGUUAUGUUACCAUUAUUAUAAUUGUAAUAAAUCAAUAUUGGUCUUC
This is a long non-coding RNA of Strongylocentrotus purpuratus (purple sea urchin), 1346 nucleotides long. RefSeq lists it as uncharacterized. The record is from RefSeq and is a predicted model, not a curated record. The transcript has 6 exons. NCBI's taxonomy places the organism in Eukaryota, Metazoa, Echinodermata, Echinoidea, Camarodonta, Strongylocentrotidae.